This 774-nucleotide ribosomal RNA is filed under the name uncultured Neocallimastigales. RNAcentral's name for it is "partial large subunit ribosomal RNA". It matches the Rfam family "Eukaryotic large subunit ribosomal RNA", at positions 24 to 628 of the family's 3401-position model. Lineage: Eukaryota; Fungi; Neocallimastigomycota; Neocallimastigomycetes; Neocallimastigales. The record is from RNAcentral.
UAUCUCUGUAGAGUCUGCAUAUCAAUAAGCGGAGGAAAAGAAACUAACUAGGAUUCCCUCAGUAACGGCGAGUGAAGCGGGAAGAGCUCAAAUUUGAAAUCUUCAAGGUUCUACCUUGACGAAUUGUAGUUUAAAGAAGUGUUUUCUGUUGGAGUUUUGGUAAAAGUUCUUUGGAAUAGGACAUCAUAGAGGGUGAGAAUCCCGUAUUUGACCAUUAUUUCCAGCUUUGUGAUACACUUUCAAAGAGUCGGAUUGUUUGGGAAUGCAGUCCAAAAUGGGUGGUAAAUUUCAUCUAAAGCUAAAUAUUGGCGAGAGACCGAUAGCGAACAAGUACCGUGAGGGAAAGAUGAAAAGAACUUUGAAAAGAGAGUUAAACAGUACGUGAAAUUGUCAAAAGGGAAGCGUUUAACACCAGUGUUGUUUUCUCGAAAAUCAAUUAAAAAAGGCAGGAUUUUGUGUUGUAUUGACUUUAUCAGCUUUCUGCACUCUUUUCUUGUCUUUUUUAAUGCACUUUUCGUUUAACAAGUCAACAUCAAUUUCUUUUGUUGUAAAAGGGUCAUUGGAAGGUGGCUUUCUUUUCGGAGAAAGUGUUUAUAGCCUUUGGCCUCUGCAAUCGGAGAGAUUGAGGUCUGCAGCGUAGAUCCUUCGGGGUUAGAUACAUUUGUGCUAAGUUAUAGCCUUUCAUAGACAACUUGUUGACUAUGAUCAGUCAUGUAGCUUACUCGCUUAUGCUAUUUUACCUACGCUUAGGAUGUUGACGAUCAGCUGAGCGCG